GAUCCUGGCUCAGGACGAACGCUGGCGGCGUGCCUAAUACAUGCAAGUCGAGCGGAUUUAUCCUUCGGGAUAAGUUAGCGGCGGGCGGGUGAGUAACACGUAGGCAACCUGCCUAUAAGACUGGGAUAACUAUCGGAAACGAUAGCUAAGACCGGAUAACUGAUUUUCUCGCAUGAGAAAAUUAUGAAACACGGAGCAAUCUGUGGCUUAUAGAUGGGCCUGCGGCGCAUUAGCUAGUUGGUAGGGUAACGGCCUACCAAGGCGACGAUGCGUAGCCGACCUGAGAGGGUGAACGGCCACACUGGGACUGAGACACGGCCCAGACUCCUACGGGAGGCAGCAGUAGGGAAUCUUCCGCAAUGGACGCAAGUCUGACGGAGCAACGCCGCGUGAGUGAUGAAGGUUUUCGGAUCGUAAAGCUCUGUUGCCCUAGACGAACAGCAAGAGGAGUAACUGCCUUUUGUGUGACGGUAUAGGAGAAGAAAGCCCCGGCUAACUACGUGCCAGCAGCCGCGGUAAUACGUAGGGGGCAAGCGUUGUCCGGAAUUAUUGGGCGUAAAGCGCGCGCAGGCGGUCAAUUAAGUUGGGUGUUUAAGCCCGGGGCUCAACCCCGGUUCGCAUCCAAAACUGGUCGACUUGAGUGUAGGAGAGGAAAGUGGAAUUCCACGUGUAGCGGUGAAAUGCGUAGAGAUGUGGAGGAACACCAGUGGCGAAGGCGACUUUCUGGCCUAUAACUGACGCUGAGGCGCGAAAGCGUGGGGAGCAAACAGGAUUAGAUACCCUGGUAGUCCACGCCGUAA
Molecule: ribosomal RNA, 800 nt
Filed under: uncultured bacterium
Lineage: Bacteria
Description: bacterial SSU rRNA
Rfam family: Bacterial small subunit ribosomal RNA
Source: RNAcentral